AUACUCUGGUUUCUCUUCAGAUCGUAUAAAUCUUUCGCCUUUUACUAAAGAUUUCCGUGGAGAGGAACAAUUCUGAGUUUUUUCCCAAUUUUUUGAGGCCUUGCUUUUGCAAGGCU
RNAcentral lists this small nuclear RNA (116 nucleotides) under Moschus moschiferus (Siberian musk deer). RNAcentral's name for it is "U5 spliceosomal RNA (ENSMMSG00000017571.1)". It matches the Rfam family "U5 spliceosomal RNA". Rfam says of the family: U5 RNA is a component of both types of known spliceosome. The precise function of this molecule is unknown, though it is known that the 5' loop is required for splice site selection and p220 binding, and that both the 3' stem-loop and the Sm site are important for Sm protein binding and cap methylation. The record is from Rfam by way of RNAcentral. Lineage: Eukaryota; Metazoa; Chordata; Mammalia; Artiodactyla; Moschidae.